Molecule: long non-coding RNA, 543 nt
Filed under: Anser cygnoides (Swan goose)
Lineage: Eukaryota; Metazoa; Chordata; Aves; Anseriformes; Anatidae
Description: lncRNA (ENSACDG00005016537.1)
Source: RNAcentral
AUGGAUAAAAUGAACCUAGAUUCACAGACAUUCAUCAUUGUUGAUGAAAGUAAAUUACAAGGACUCCUUAUACUAAACAUCACUGAUGAAAGACAAGAGCUGGAUGUCGUGCUAACCCAUAACAUUCAAGAAGCUGCUGACAUUGGAAUUCCUAUGAGGAUGUUAGUUGAUGUAAUAUCAGAAAAAAAUACUAACUUCUAUAGAAGACUGACUUACUUCUGUGUGAACAACAAGCAAAUUAGAGAAGAACUGAGCCUUGUCCAGAAUUUGGGUGUUGUGUCUCUGAACUACAAACUUACUCAUAACAUAGAGGCACUGAAGGCUUUGCAAAUAGAAGACAGGAUUGAGUUGCAGGCUAUUUUGAACCUGAAAGCGAUCAAGAGCUUGAGUAUUAAAGUGCAUUAUGGUGCUCACUUGACGGUUCUUGAAGGGCGUAUCCAGGAGUCUGAAACAAGUACCAAUGUAACAGGGAAUUUCGAGCAUACUUGGCCAUGGUUGAUACAAGCCAGAAUCCCAACAUCUAUACAGGUAGUUUCAAUUUAA